GUCUUUCUCCGCGGCCGACUGCAGUGGUGACCUGCGUGCACACACGUGCGCGCACACCGAUGUAAGCGGCCUCACCCGGACACGUCCACAUACAGGCAAUCAUAGACGAACACUCACAAGCCGGCACGUACGCUACACCAUCGUAUAGACGCAGCCGCGCAGGCGACUGGCGCGCAUCUUUUAGAGCCACCACACCCCCUCUGUUCUUUUCCCAUUCCCUACCGCUACCACUACCACCACCUUACCGCGCGUUCGCCGCUGCCCCUGACCUUGACGCCAUGCGCGUAAAGAGCAUCGUGAUUGACGGCUUCAAGUCGUAUGCGCACCGCAAGGAGCUGGCGGACCUCAGUCCGCACUUUAACGCCAUCACCGGGCUCAAUGGCAGUGGUAAGUCGAACAUCUUCGACGCCAUCUGUUUCGUCAUGGGUAUCACCAACUUGAAGCGCGUGCGCGCCGAGGACCCGCGGGAGCUGAUUUUCCGCGCCGGCACGACCGGCGUGCACGCGGCGCGGGUGACGAUCGAAUUCGUGAACGAUGACCCCGCCUCCGCCCCGCCGGGCUACAGCUGCGAGGAGUACCCGCUCAUCACCAUUGGCCGUCAGAUCAAGCUCGGUGGGAGGCAGCAGUUCUUCUUCAACAACAACGUGUCGCUGCAGAGCAAGGUGAAGCGCUUCUUCGAGAGCAUCAGCUUGAACGUCGACAACCCCCACUUCAUGAUCCUGCAGGGGACCGUGCACAAGCUGAUCGGCAUGCGCUCGCAGGACAUCCUGUCCCUCAUCGAGGAGGCGGUCGGCACGAAGGCCUUUGAUCAUCGCCGCCGCACCGCCGAGACGCUUAUUCGCAACAAGGAGCGGAAGAUGGAGGAGAUCGACACGAACAUCGAGGCGCAGAUCCGACCGCUGCUGGAGACGAUGCGGGCCGACCAGGAAGAGUACAACACGUUCAUGCAGAAGCGAGAGAAGAUGGAGGAAAAGGCGCGCUUCCGUGUCGCGCUGGACUACUACACGCAUCGCACGCAGCACACAGAGGCGGAGGCGGCGAUGGAGGCACGCAAGGCCGACGUUCAGAACGCGAAGACGCAGCUGCAGGCACUGCCGCGCCAGGAAGAGGAGGCAGCGCGUCGACUCCUGCAGCUGCAGGACUCCCUCAGCGCUCCGAGCGAUGCAGCCAUCGCGCUGCACGAAGAGGAAGAUGAACUGAAGAAGGCGCAUAGCCGCCUCGAAGGCCAGCUGUGCAACUGCACCCAGUCGCUGGAGCAACUCGAGACACAGCUCAAGAGUCUGCGGAAGGAGCAGGAGCGGCAGAGCAGCAGGCAGGCGGCCUUCGCGGCACGGCAGCGGCAGCACGAGCAGCUGCUCGCGCAGAUUAGGGCGGGCAAAGAAACGUGCGCAAGGCUGAAGAAGGGCCUCAAGCUCCUCCGAUCCGGCGUGCAGGCCGGUGCCUCGGGCGUCUCGCUCGCCGAGGAACGGCAGCAGGUGGACCUGCAGCUCAUCGAGCAGCAGUCGCGCGUGCGCCGCGCCACAGAGCGGCUUGAGGAGCUGGUGAAGCAGCAGCGGCGAGUCGAGGCGCACCAGGCCGAGGAGAACGGCCGCGUGCGGCACCUAGAGCACGAGUACGCCAAGGCAGCCGCGUCUCUCGAGAAGGCAAAGGCGGUGUACACCCCUUUGGCGCUGAAGCAGGAGCGCAAGGAGGCCCUCGAGGCCGAGAUCUCGUCGCUGAAGCGUGAGUACCAGGCCGAGUACGAGAACUUCCAGCGGCAGGUGAGCACGGCGACCGCGCGCAACUACGACCUCGACUACAACCGCUACGCCUGCCCACCCGACACGGAAGACAAGGUGCUUGGGCGUGUCGGCCAACUCAUCACUCCGACCGAUCCGCAGCAUGCGCUGGGGCUCAUGGUUGGCGCCCAGAACCAGCUGCUACGCGUCGUCGUCACGGACGAUCGCGUCGCUGAAGCCAUCAUCCGCAGUGGGCUGCGGCAGCGCACCGCGUUCUUUGCCCUGGACAAGCUGCAGCGUCAGCCAACACACUUCUUUAUCGAUGGCGCGAAGCUGCAGACGGCGCGGCUCAUUGCCGAGCAGCAGGGUGGCUGGGUGCACCGCGCACGGGACUUGGUGACGGUGCAGGAGGCCUCAUCCCAUCAGCAGCAGCAGCAGCUCAACGCUCUUGCGGACUUCGUGUUUGGCAACUUCCUUGUGUGCUCCAGCUUGCGGCUUGCGCAGGAGCUGGCCUACAACCCGUCCAUUAAGGCGAAGGCCGUCACCGUCGAGGGCGAGGUGGCCGAGCCGAACGGCUUGAUGACGGGCGGGUCGACGCGGCAGCUACGCGACGUUUUCGCCGACCUCAAGACGUACACCGCUCAGAAACAGCCGCUCAAGGCGCUGCAGCAACGCACGCGCGCGCUGGAAGUCGAGUACGCCGCCCUGCGCGACACGCUCCGGCAGCACCAGCACGACAUCCAGGUAUACAAGGCAGCGGAGGAGGCGGCGGAGCUGUCGAAGCAGCGCUACAUCGUCGCCGCUAACAGUGUGCAGAGCGGUGCGGCUGAGCUGCCGGAGCAGAUGGAGCGCGAGCGGACCGCGCUCGCCGAGGCGCGCGAGAAGGUGGAGGUCCUGCAGGCAAGGCAGCGCGAGUUGGCCACGCAGGCUCAGACGACAGACCUGAACUCGGUGCGACAGGAAAUGGAAGAUCAACUCGCCGCAGCGGAGGCCCACGUGGCGCGGCUGACGGCCGACGAGGAGCGCGGCGCGGCGGAGUUUGAGCGACUCGAGGCAGACAUGGAGCAGCAGGCGGCGGACUUGUCUCGCAAGACACAAGACACGGAGGAGGAUAUGGUGCAGCAACAGAGUCAGAAGUUGAAGCUGGCGGCGCAGGUCGAGGAGGUGACGCAGCAGCUGGCGGCGGUGCAGGCGCGCUCUAAGCAGAACGAGGAGCGGCGCCAGCGGCUGGAAAAAGAUAUCGACGACGCCCAGGAGGAGCUGACGCGCCUCGCGGAGCGCAAGGUCACGCUGGAUAACCUGGUCAAGAAUGGCGAAGUGGAGCUGCGAGAGCAGAGCCGGUGCCUCGAGAGUCUGCGCCGCCACGUUCAUGAGGCGGAGCAGCGCUACAGCUGGCUCCUCGAGGCGCGGGCCGCGUUCAAUCAACCAGGUGGCCCAUACGACUUCAGCGACGCGGCGCGCACGGCGGCCAUCCUGCAGGAGCUGCGCGACGUCGAAGCGCGUGCUGCCGUGAUGUCGAGCAAACUCUCGCAAAAGUCUGCUAUCCUGUACGAGGAGCGGCGCCGCGAGUACGAGGAGCUCGUCAAGCAGCGCACAGCCCUUGGCGAGGACAAGGAGGCGAUCCAGCGCUGCAUCACCGAGAUCGAGUCGAAGAAGUGGGGCGCGCUGGAUCGCAUGGUUGGCGUCGUCAGCUCCAUCUUCGGUAAGCUCUUUGCCACGUGUCUGCCUGGCGCGACGGCGCAGUUGCUGGAGGAACGCGACGCGGCGAACCAUCUCAGCGGCCUCAGUGUCCGUGUCUCCUUCAACGGGAAGCCGAGGGAAUCACUUUCCGAGCUCAGCGGUGGUCAGCGCUCGCUGCUGGCGUUGUGCCUCAUACUGGCCAUCCUGCGCGUUCGCCCCGCACCGCUGUACAUCCUGGACGAGGUGGACGCUGCCCUCGACCCCAGCCACACCCAGAACAUUGGCCGCAUGCUGCAGCUUUACUUCCCCCAUUCACAGUUCCUUCUGGUGUCGCUGAAGGACGGCAUGUUCAACAACGCCAACGUGCUCUACCACAUUCGCAAUACGCAAGGCUACUCGGAGGUGGCGCGCAUCGAACACAAGCCGCCGUCUCAGCCGACGUCCGCCGACAGCGACCCGCAAAACGUGGCGAGCGGCGCUGAGAAACAAGGCGCUGUGACGUCGUCUGCGUAAGCGCAGUAGGCAUACACAUAUACACACGCAGCUGCUGUAGCUGCUGCUGCUUACGCCAGGGAAAUGUGUAUGUAUGUAUGCGUGUGUGUGUGUGUGUGUUAUAUCCGCAGAACUAUAGAUUUGCAUCUUUCUCCUUUCCAGCGUGUGUCCGCACUCUGCCCGACGGCACAUGAGCUCAAGCGCCACGCCACUCAAUCGUGUCCCCCCUUCCCAUCCCUAGUCCGUCACAGGCCGCCAACCCACGGCGCUACGUCGUAGGUGCUCGGCCCGGCCAUCGCCAGCGGCGGUUCGGGGUCGGAACGGGAUGGGGGGCUGCUCGGCUUCCCCUCGCACACAGGGGGGUGGGGUCGGUGGGCCCCGUGCUGCAAGGCGUGUGUGUGUGUGUGUGUGUCCCUUCCCUCUUCGUCGUGGAGGGGGGUCACAGAAAAAUCAGGAACAGAGAAAACGCGAACUGCUUAUCGGCACGUUGCUCUUGUCGUGUGAGCCGAACUCUCGAUGCGGAGAAGAUAACGAUGCGACAUGGUGCGACGAUGCUCGAGCGCCUCUCCCGCCACACGAAGUCGACAUGCAUGUCGGGUAGAGGGGAAGGGGCGCGCGCGUUGAUGUGGAUGCUUCUCCCUGGCGAUCUCCUUCUCGCGCUGCCGCUAGCUUCGCGGCUUACCGUCAUGAACGUCUGCCUUCGUCUCUAUCCUACGCCACCCUUUCCUCUCCCCUCUUCCACCGCACUCCCCCCCCCCUUUCCACACGCACACGCACCACAG
RNAcentral lists this unclassified non-coding RNA (4672 nucleotides) under Leishmania donovani. Its description in RNAcentral is "gene:LdHU3.05.0460(CDS-product:structural_mainten ance_of_chromosome_(SMC)_putative)". The record is from RNAcentral. Lineage: Eukaryota; Euglenozoa; Kinetoplastea; Trypanosomatida; Trypanosomatidae.